This 460-nucleotide ribosomal RNA is filed under the name uncultured bacterium. RNAcentral describes it as "partial 16S ribosomal RNA". It matches the Rfam family "Bacterial small subunit ribosomal RNA", at positions 338 to 795 of the family's 1533-position model. The record is from RNAcentral.
CCUACGGGAGGCAGCAGUGAGGAAUAUUGGUCAAUGGACGAGAGUCUGAACCAGCCAAGUAGCGUGAAGGAUGACUGCCCUAUGGGUUUUAAACUUCUUUUAUAUGGGAAUAAAAUGUUCCACGUGUGGGAGUUUGUAUGUACCAUAUGAAUAAGGAUCGGCUAACUCCGUGCAAGCAGCCGCGGUAAUACGGAGGUUCCGAGCGUUAUCCGGAUUUAUUGGGUUUAAAGGGAGCGUAGGUGGAUUGUUAAGUCGGUUGUGAAAGUUUGCGGCUCAACCGUAAAAUUGCAGUUGAUACUGGCAGUCUGGAGUACAGUAGAGGUGGGCGGAAGUCGUGGUGUAGCGGUGAAAUGCUUAGAUAUCACGAAGAACUCCGAUUGCGAAGGCAGCUCACGGGACUGCGACUGACACUGAGGCUCGAAAGUGUGGGUAUCAAACAGGAUUAGAUACCCCAGUAGUC